Molecule: ribosomal RNA, 742 nt
Filed under: uncultured prokaryote
Description: bacterial SSU rRNA
Rfam family: Bacterial small subunit ribosomal RNA
Source: RNAcentral
CCUUAAACUUAACCGUAAACCAGUAGGUGCGGUCCUGGACUACCUGGGCUACGAUGGGUAGCUGGUCUGAUUAGGAUGAUCAGCCACACUGGAACUGACCACACGGUCCAUGACUCCUACGGGAGGCAUCAGUGGGGAAUUUUGCGCAAUGGGCGAAAGCCUGACGCAGCAACGCCGCGUGAGUGAUGAAGGCCCUCGGGUCGUAAAGCUCUGUCAGAGGGGAAGAACCUCCCAUCGGUUAAUAUCCGGUGGGCCUGACGGUACCCUCAAAGGAAGCACCGGCUAACUCCGUGCCAGCAGCCGCGGUAAUACGGAGGGUGCAAGCGUUGUUCGGAAUUAUUGGGCGUAAAGCGCGUGUAGGCGGCUGUUUAAGUCUGAUGUGAAAGCCCUGGGCUCAACCCGGGAAGUGCAUUGGAAACUGGACAGCUUGAAUACGGGAGAGGGAAGUGGAAUUUCGAGUGUAGGGGUGAAAUCCGUAGAUAUUCGAAGGAACACCGGUGGCGAAGGCGGCUUCCUGGACGAUAUUGACGCUGAGACGCAAAAGCGUGGGGAGCAAACAGGAUUAAUACCCUGGUAGUCCACGCCGUAAACAUGGGUAUAAGUGUCGCGGGUAUGACCCUGCGUGCCGAACUAAGCAUAAUACCCGCUGGGGAGUACGGCGCAGGUAAAAUCAAGAAUGACGGGGCCGCCAACGUGAACUUUGUUAAUCACCAGAAAACUACUGGGUGAUCAUCGACUAUGA